RNAcentral lists this unclassified non-coding RNA (326 nucleotides) under soil metagenome. Its description in RNAcentral is "partial contains 5.8S ribosomal RNA, internal transcribed spacer 2, and large subunit ribosomal RNA". The stretch from base 1 to 120 matches the Rfam family "5.8S ribosomal RNA", at positions 35 to 154 of the family's 154-position model. The record is from RNAcentral.
GAUGAAGAACGCAGCGAAAUGCGAUAAGUAAUGUGAAUUGCAGAAUUCAGUGAAUCAUCGAAUCUUUGAACGCACAUUGCGCCCCCUGGUAUUCCGGGGGGCAUGCCUGUUCGAGCGUCAUAUUAACCACUCCCGCUUGCGGGGUCUUGGGCUUCGCCUCCGGGCGGGCCUUAAAAUCAGUGGCGGUGCCGUCGGGCUCUACGCGUAGUAAAUUUUCUCGCGAUAGGGUCCCGGUGGAUGCUUGCCAACAACCCCCAACUUCUUAAGGUUGACCUCGGAUCAGGUAGGGAUACCCGCUGAACUUAAGCAUAUCAAUAAGCGGAGGA